UCCCUGGUGGCUCAGUGGUAAAGAAUCUGCCUGCAAUGCAGAAGACCUGGGUUUAAUCCCUGGGUUGGGAA
This 71-nucleotide transfer RNA is filed under the name Ovis aries (sheep). It matches the Rfam family "tRNA". From Rfam's summary of the family: Transfer RNA (tRNA) molecules are approximately 80 nucleotides in length. The record is from Rfam by way of RNAcentral. Lineage: Eukaryota; Metazoa; Chordata; Mammalia; Artiodactyla; Bovidae.